UCAAGUUUGAAUGGUCGUGUUGAUC
This 25-nucleotide non-coding RNA is filed under the name Drosophila melanogaster (fruit fly). The record is from RNAcentral. Lineage: Eukaryota; Metazoa; Arthropoda; Insecta; Diptera; Drosophilidae.